CAGAAGUCAGGUCGGAUUAAGCCAUAGUACGGAAAAAACUAUGCUACCUGUGAGCCCCGUCCAAGGACGUUAAAAGAAGUCAGGCCACUACAAGUGCCAUAGCUUGAGUAAACUAUGCAGCCUGUGGCUCCACCUGAGAAGGUGUAAAAAAUCUGGGAGGCCACAAACCAUGGAAGCUGUACGCAUGGCGUAGUGGACUAGCGGUUAGAGGAGACCCCUCCCUUACAAAUCGCAGCAACAAUGGGGGCCCAAGGUGAGAUGAAGCUGUAGUCUCACUGAAAGGACUAGAGGUUAGCGGAGACCCCCCCGAAAUAAAAAACAGCAUAUUGACGC
RNAcentral lists this long non-coding RNA (333 nucleotides) under dengue virus type 2. RNAcentral's name for it is "Dengue virus type 2 partial sfRNA1". The stretch from base 243 to 314 matches the Rfam family "Flavivirus DB element". Lineage: Riboviria; Orthornavirae; Kitrinoviricota; Flasuviricetes; Amarillovirales; Flaviviridae. The record is from RNAcentral.